RNAcentral lists this long non-coding RNA (7379 nucleotides) under Homo sapiens (human). Its description in RNAcentral is "non-protein coding RUSC1-AS1:7". The record is from RNAcentral. Lineage: Eukaryota; Metazoa; Chordata; Mammalia; Primates; Hominidae.
GAGCUGCACAGGCCAAGGAAUUCCACAGAGGGUGUGACCCAAAGCCCCUAACAACAGACUCGCUGGGACCCCCUAGACUUGGCAUGGAGGCUGGCGUCGAUUUUCCCAUCAUCCGCCUCUAAGAGCUCAGAGGUAGGGAGAUCCUGCUCCGCCCUCUCGUCCUCUUCCUCCAAGCCUGGGGAAGGGACGUCCUGGCAGGUGGUCAGGGCGUUGCAGUUCGAGUCCAGGCCAGGAUCGGGUGAAGAAGAAGCUCCGGAGCAGGAAUCAGGAGAGCAGCAGAAGCUGUCCGGUGCAGACCUAGAAGACAGAGGUGGUGAAGCCCGGCCAGUGAGGACAAGAGCUGCGGGGAAGGACACCGAGAUGAGAUGCAAAUCGCAAUCGACUGACCAUUAGUUUCCACUGCAGUGUUUGCAGAUGGAGUCGAAUGUAACCCCCCGGGAAUGGAGCCGGGAGGGUCAGAGAACGCGGCUGCGCUCUGGAUCUCCGAAGGGGGGCGGGGGCCUGGAAGAGGUCCGGGCCCAGAAUGGACCUCCAGGUCCCUGCUGCCGCAAUCUGGCCCUGCCCUCCAGCCUACCCCUUACUCCCAGAGGAAGGGACCCAGGGAGACCCACCCAGAUGCCCUGAAAGGAGGUGGAGGAUGGGGGUGGGGCAAUACGCAGAGUUUGUCUGGUGAAUGCAGGAAAGGGGUGGGGGCUGGAGAGGAAAAGGAUGGAGCAGCCGUCAGCUUGUCAACUCCGCAUCUGCUGGCUGCCUCGGCCGGGCUCCAGCCUGCGCCCUCGCCCCUCGGAACAGCGGUAUGUCCAUUCUCUCCGCAUUCGUCUCCAUCGUUCAGCCACCACCGCACCCUUUCUCUAUUCAUUUCUCCUGCUCCCUUGUCCUGCCCCGCCCCUCGUGCCCAGGUCCAUCGGUCUACACCCAUGGGCCGAGCCCUCCUCACCAGGGUCCUCCUGGAACCGCUCCGGCCUUGGGCUUGUCCGCGGCUCCCACGGUCCCCGCCCGGCGGGGCACAGAGCGGGAGGGGAGGGGCACUAGCACAACCUACCCUGCGCUGCGCAGCUGCACCCCUUCGCGCAUGGGCGUGGCGUAGCUCAGACCCGCCCCCAGCGUUUAGCGUCUUUUGUCACCCACCUAGAGGGUUUGAUAUAUCCUAAGCUUUUGGCCCCUGGGUCCUGGUUCCGUGCAGCGAGUCCUCCCAGCACCCCACCCUGCACAUUCUGGAAAGAGCCAGACUCUGGCUGGGCCGAGCAAGAACAGAACCACAAGAAGGUUACACGAUUAUUUAUUGAGAGCCUCCUCUCCCCGCCCUUGCAAUCUCUAGGUCACUUUCUCCGCUUGUAGAUUUUGCGCGCAAGCCCCAGAAAGACGGCUGGGGGCAGGGGUGCUGCGUACUGUUCAAUGAGAGCCAUAAUGUGGCUGUAACUGUCUUCCUCAUAUUGCAAGAACACUGCUGGCAGAUCCAGCUCCUCAUAUAGCGCCUUCACCCGGGCCACUUUCUCAGCCUCCUUCUGCCCGUAAUUUUCCUGGAAGAGGUUGAAAGACAGGAAAACGGGCUUGGCCUUCCCCAGAGCCUCCAGGACCCCUCCACUCCCCUCAUUCACAUAUUCCAGAACAUCUCCAAAGCCACCCACUCCUUUCCUCCCUCCAAUUUUCAAGUGUCUCUACGUAGCUAAAAUCCCAAGCUUCCCUUCCCUAUCCCAAAUAUUGCCUCAUACCAGGCAUCCUCUACUCCAGGGUUUCUCCACCUUGGCACUAUUGAAAUUUGGGACCAGAUAAUCCUGUCUGGGGGAGCUGUUCUGUGUACUACAUGUUUGGCAACAUCUUUGGCUCCUGCCAACUAGAUGUCUGUACCACAUGCACACACACAGAGUUGUAAUGACAAUGGCAAAAAAUGUCUGCUGACAUUGCCAAAUGUCCCCUCGGGAGGAAAACUGCCUCUAGUUGAGAACCACUGCUCUAUCCCUUUCCACCAACUCAGGGACCCACCACCCUCUCUCAGGCACCUUCAGGAUCUGGUACUGUUCUGGAGUGGCCCGUUGCAGACACUGAACCACCAGCCAGCUGCAUUUGUUGUCCUGGAUGUCAGUGCCAAUUUUGCCGGUCACACUGGGGUCCCCAAAGAGGUCAAGGCACGCUGCAAUCCUGUACCCUGAAACCAGCUAGAUGAGCAUGUCCUAUAGAGGCCAAGGCUACCAUGGGCACCCUCUGGGCAUCGGGCCCUGUCUGCAAUACACCUGCAGGAAGAGCUCGAUCAGGUUCAGAUCUGUCCCCGGCGGGUAAGGGAUGAAUCCAUGAUGUCAUCUGCCACCAGGAAGAAAGCUUGCAGCUAGAAAGAGUGGAAUAAGACCUGCAGGGCUCCUCAUUACUGUUCCUUCUAUCAGCAACAGAGCUGCUACUUUAUAUCUGUAUAUAGUUUUGCUUUUUUUUGGUAGGGGACAGAGUCUCACUAUUAUCCAGUGCAGUGGUGCAGUCACAGCUCACUGUAGCCUCUAACUCCCAGGCUCAAGUGAUCCUCCCACUUCAGCUUCCUGAGUUCCUGAGACCAUAGGCACAUACCCCAUGCCUGGCUAUUUUUUUUUUUUAAUUUAUUUUUUGUAGAGACAGGGUCCCACUAUGUUGCUCAGGCUGGUUUUGAACCCCUGGGUUCAAAUGAUCCUCCUGCCUCAGCCUCCCAAAUUACUGGGAUUACAGGCAUGAGGCAUCACAGCCGGCCAGAGCUGCUGCCUUUGACAGUCCCUAUGAGCUGGGAAAGUCAGGAUGGGGAGACAGAAGACUUCUGUGCUAUGGAGACUUGGAAAGUGACAUAACAUGUUUGGCUCAGACUCCCCGCCUAUAAAAUGGAACUAAAACACUCUUGUUUUAGGUUAAGAAACUAGAACAGAUCUUUGACAUCUCUAAUGAGCCCUAGAUUAUUCCUGGUGUCAGGGAGAUUAGGAAACACCUUCAUAUACCGUACUCUAUUCUUGCCAAAAACCUCAAUGAAUGCUUAAAGUAAGAUCUAUUCAUGAAACUGACUUCACAUUACUUCCUAAAUAAAAGAAGGCUAUUCCCACAUUGCCCCCAGCACUGUGUUUGAACACCCUGGUGACUAGGAACACAGCCUUACCUAAAGCAGCUCCUUAGCAGUGCAGGUCUAAUAAGGUGGAACUGAAAUCUGACUUUGACCUAUGAGUCUCAGACAUCUUUAAACAUCUUUAAACAUUAACUAAGGGCUUACUCUUCUGAGUGCCCAUCUGAAGGUACCUGAACGUGUCGGGUUUCCCACUAGACCAUGAUCUCCUUGGAAGCAGGGACAGUAACUUCCCCCUCUUAGCAUUUGCAGAGCCUAGCACAGCAUUAGGCCUGGAGUGAGAGUUUCCUAAACACUUGUCUGACAAAGAAAUUAAUAAAACACUCUAACAUUCCCUGUGAUACUUCUUGCAGUCAGUCAAACUAUGUUUUGGUUCCUUAAAUAGCUUUUCUUUUUUUUUUUUUUUGAGAUAGAGUCUCACUCUAUCACCCAAGCUGGAGUGCAGUGGCGCCAUGUGGGUUCACUGUAACCUCCGCCUCCCAAAUUCAAGCGAUUCUCCUGCCUCAGCCUCCCAAGUAGCUGGGACUACAGGCACCUGCCACCACCAACUGCUAGGCCAGCUAAUUUUUGUAUUUUCAUUCAGUAGAGACUGGGUUUUGCCAUGUUGGCCAGGCUGGUCUUGAACUCCUGACCUCAAGUGAUCCGCCUGCCUCGGCCUCCCAAAGUGCUGGGAUUACAGGCGUGAGCCAUCGUGUCUGACCAUUAAAUAGCUUUUCAAGACAUGGUUUGGGUUGCUUUUUUAAAGAGACAAGGGUCUUGUCAUGUUGCCCAAGUUGGACUUGAACUCCUGGGCUCAAGUGAUCCUCCUGUCUCAACUCUUGAGAAUCUAGGGAUAUAGGCACACACCAGCGCACCCAGCUCAAGACAUGGUUUUUAUUUUCAUAACUUAUUUCCUUUUUUUGUUUUUCCACUUCUAGAUACAUACCCAGGUUUUUGUUUUUGAGAUGGAGUUUCACUCUCAUUGUCCAGGCUGGAGUGCAAUGGCGCAAUCUCGGCUCACUGCAACCUCCGCCUCCCGGGUUCACGCGAUUCUCCUGCCUCAGCCUCCCAAGUAGCUGGGAUUACAGGCACGUGCCAUCACACCCGGCUAAUUUUUGUGUUUUUAGUAGAGACAAGGUUUCACCAUGUUGGUCAGGCUGGUCUCGAACUCCUGACCUCACGUGAUCCAUCCACCUUGGCCUCCCAAAGUGCUGGGAUUUUAAGUGUGAGCCAAUGCACCCGGCCCUAUACCCAGGUUUUAAUUUUUAUUAUUAUUUUCUUUUGAGACAGGAUCUCACUCUGUCACCCAGGCUUGAGCAGAAGACAUGGUUUGUGUGUUUUUUUUUUUUUGAGAUGGAGUUUCGCUCUUGUUGCCCAGGCUGGAGUGCAAUAGCGCGAUCUUGGCUCACUGCAACCUCCGCCUCCCGGGUUCAAGCGAUUUUCCUGCCUCAGCCUCCUGAGUAGCUGGGAUUAUAGGCAUGUGCCUCCACGCCUGGCUAAUUUUUUUUUUGUUUUUUGUUUUUUGUUUUUUUUUGAGACAGAGUCUCGCUCUUGUUGCCCAGGCUGGAGUGCAGUGGCACAAUCUCAGCUCACUGCAAGCUCCGCCUCCCAGGUUCACGCCAUUCUCCUACCUCAGCCUCCCAAAUAGCUGGGACUACAGGCGCCUGCCACCAUGCCCGGCUAAUAUUUUUUUUGUAUUCUUAGUAGAGACGGGGUUUCACCAUGUUAGCCAGGAUGGUCUCGAUCUCCUGACUUCAUGAUCCGCCCGCCUCAGCCUCCCAAAGUGCUGGGAUUACAGGCAUGAGCCACUGCGCCCAGCCUAAUUUUGUAUUUUCAGUAGAGAUGGGGUUUCCCCAUGUUGGUCAGGCUGGUCUCGAACUCCUGACCUCAGGUGAUCCACCUGCCUCAGCCUCCCAAAGUGCUGGGAUUACAGGCAUGAGCCACUACACUUGGCCUAGAAGACAUGGUUUUUAAGACUUUAUCCCAUCCUAAUCCUGUGUGCUGUAGUGGAUCCACAUUGCAAAGGAAGCAUGCAACACCGCCUGCCAGAGCCCAGCAUGGGCCGUGGGGAAAGGACCGUUGCAAUCACUGCUGUUAUAGGCAGGGUCCUCAGGGAAGGAGGCAUCCAUCUGCAUCUUUACCUCUGACCUAAACUCAGAAGAGUAGUGUGGAGGUCCUGGGCUUUCCACAUCAAAGGCACAUGUUUAAUUGACUCUGUGUUUAUUUGGAGUAGCAUGGUUUCCCUGAAGCCACCCAUUCACUGCCUCUCCCAAGGGUGACUGCAAGGACAAUCUUGUUUCAGCCACCACCACUCAACCAUGAUGGUCUCCAAGAUAAUUAAUUCCAUGGCCUCCCCAAAUUUCCUCUGCCUCCUAGCACUGAUUCUUAACCCCACCAGCACUUUCUAUUUAUUAGGGAAAUUAAAAAAAAAAAAAAAACCCAGGCCAGGCACAGUGGCUCACACCUGUUAUCCCAGUACUCUGGGAGGCCGAGGCAGGCAGAUCACUUGAGCCCGGGAGUUCAAGACCAGCCUGGGCAACAUAGUGACACUCCAUCUCUACCAAAAAACUAUUUAAAAAGCCGGGCGUGGUGGUAGGCACCUGUAGUCUCAGCUACUUGGGAGGCUGAGGUGGAAGGAUCGCUUGAGCCCAGGAGGUCGAGGCUACAGUACACCAUGAUUGCACCACUACACUCAAGCCUGGGCAACAGAAUGAGGCUUUGUCUCUAAAAAAAAAUUUAGACCAGGCGUGGUGGCUCACGCCUGUAAUCCCAACACUUUAGGAGGCCGAGAUGGGCAGAUCACUCGAUGCCACAAGUUCAAGACCAGCCUCAGCAACAUGGUGAAACCUAGUCUCUAAAAAAAAAAAGCCAAGUAGAGGCUCGCUCCUGUAGUCUCAGCUACUUGGGAGGCUGAGGCGGUGGAAGGGUGGCUUCCGCUCCAGAGGCAGAGAUUGCAGUGAGCCAAGAUCAUGCCACUGCACUCCAGCCUGGGUAACAGAGUAAGACCCUGUAUCAAAAAAAAAAAAAAAUUAAAAAUUUUUAAAAACUUACAGGUGAAACUAGGGUGCUGCUAGGGUUAAGAACUGAUUCUAGGCCAGGUGCAGUGGCUCACACCUGUAACGCCUGUAAUCCCAGCGCUUUAGGAGGGCGAGGCAGAUGGAUCACAAGGUCAGGAGUUCCAGACCAGCCUGACCAAUAUGGUGAAACCCCGUCUCUACUAAAAAUACAAAAAUUAGCCAGGGAUGGUGGCAUGUGCCUAUAAUCCCAGCUACUUAGGAGACUGAGGCAGGAGAAUUGCUUGAACCUGGGAGGCAGAGGUUGCAGUGAGCCAAGAUGGUGCCACUGCACUCCAGCCUGGGCAACAGAGAGAGACUCCAUCUCAAAAAAAAAAUGAACUGAUUCUACCAGUUAACCACUGGCCCCUCAAGGUCUUGCUUCCCUUGGCCCCCAUAGCUUUACUCCUCUGCUCUGCCCUCAUCCUCCUUCCCUUCCUUCCUUGCCUGUCAUCUCCAUAUUUUGAACCCCUCAGCCCCUCAGCAUCCCUGUCAUCCAGGGCCCUCUCCCUGGAUGCCAUGGGCCUAUUACCUCCUUGGAAGCAAAUCUCUAUUCUCCAGACCCAUCUCCCCGACAAGUUCCAGACUGGAAUUUCCACCGCCCACAGGACAGGCAGAUCCACCUGCUCCACCCAUACCAAGAACGUACCCGGGCUGACUGUGCUCAGCACGUCUUCCCUUGAGCCAGCUGCUCCUCUCAGGCCAGGCACUCAGCAUCAUCGUCACUCACCAAGUUCUGAAUGCUCUUCCCUUUUGGGCUCACUGCCACCCUCCUCGGGCAUGGCACCCCUCCCAGAACCCAGUCCCCCUGCCACUAAUGAAAGCUUUAGGCCAUGCCAGCAAACUAGACACCUUCAAGACCAAGACGAACUGGUAUAGAAGACAAGGGGAUGUGGGGAUUGGAGCAAACUAGAGAAAGCACACAGGAGAACACAUGCCGUCUUGCAGAAGUUGCAUCCACUCAGCUUCAGCCAAUUGUUGCUAUGCGGGAACAUGGACCCAAAUCUUACAAUUUCCCAAGCCAUGCUAGAAAUCUAGGUUUUAGUGUGAAAUCUCUUUGUUAAAUUUAGGAGACUUAAUUGUAAAACAUUUUCAAAAUACUGUCAGUGAGCUGCCAGUUUUCAAUUUCUGCUUCUGAAUAGCCUUUGGAAGACCUCUGUCACCUUUUUUUUUUUUUUUUUUUUUGAGAUGGAGUUUCGCUGUUGUUGCCCAGGCUGGAGUGCAAUGGUGCAAUCUCAGCUCAUCGCAACCUCUGCCUCCCAGGUUCAAGCGAUUCUCCU